This 76-nucleotide transfer RNA is filed under the name Streptomyces candidus. RNAcentral describes it as "tRNA-Leu". Lineage: Bacteria; Bacillati; Actinomycetota; Actinomycetes; Kitasatosporales; Streptomycetaceae. The record is from RNAcentral.
CCCGCGUCGUGUGGGACCGUUCGGCGAGGUCCCUCAAGUGGACCUCGCCGAGCGGCCGUGCCGCGGCCGUGCGGUC